This 1667-nucleotide ribosomal RNA is filed under the name Salmonella enterica subsp. enterica. Its description in RNAcentral is "partial 23S ribosomal RNA". It matches the Rfam family "Bacterial large subunit ribosomal RNA", at positions 1292 to 2925 of the family's 2925-position model. Lineage: Bacteria; Pseudomonadati; Pseudomonadota; Gammaproteobacteria; Enterobacterales; Enterobacteriaceae. The record is from RNAcentral.
GAAUGCUGACAUAAGUAACGAUAAAGCGGGUGAAAAGCCCGCUCGCCGGAAGACCAAGGGUUCCUGUCCAACGUUAAUCGGGGCAGGGUGAGUCGACCCCUAAGGCGAGGCCGAAAGGCGUAGUCGAUGGGAAACGGGUUAAUAUUCCCGUACUUGGUGUUACUGCGAAGGGGGGACGGAGAAGGCUAUGUUGGCCGGGCGACGGUUGUCCCGGUUUAAGCGUGUAGGUGUGUGUUCCAGGUAAAUCCGGUUCACUUUAACACUGAGGCGUGAUGACGAGGCACUACGGUGCUGAAGCAACAAAUGCCCUGCUUCCAGGAAAAGCCUCUAAGCAUCAGGUAACACGAAAUCGUACCCCAAACCGACACAGGUGGUCAGGUAGAGAAUACCAAGGCGCUUGAGAGAACUCGGGUGAAGGAACUAGGCAAAAUGGUGCCGUAACUUCGGGAGAAGGCACGCUGACACGUAGGUGAAGUGAUUUACUCAUGGAGCUGAAGUCAGUCGAAGAUACCAGCUGGCUGCAACUGUUUAUUAAAAACACAGCACUGUGCAAACACGAAAGUGGACGUAUACGGUGUGACGCCUGCCCGGUGCCGGAAGGUUAAUUGAUGGGGUCAGCGCAAGCGAAGCUCCUGAUCGAAGCCCCGGUAAACGGCGGCCGUAACUAUAACGGUCCUAAGGUAGCGAAAUUCCUUGUCGGGUAAGUUCCGACCUGCACGAAUGGCGUAAUGAUGGCCAGGCUGUCUCCACCCGAGACUCAGUGAAAUUGAACUCGCUGUGAAGAUGCAGUGUACCCGCGGCAAGACGGAAAGACCCCGUGAACCUUUACUAUAGCUUGACACUGAACAUUGAGCCUUGAUGUGUAGGAUAGGUGGGAGGCUUUGAAGUGUGGACGCCAGUCUGCAUGGAGCCGACCUUGAAAUACCACCCUUUAAUGUUUGAUGUUCUAACGUGGACCCGUAAUCCGGGUUGCGGACAGUGUCUGGUGGGUAGUUUGACUGGGGCGGUCUCCUCCUAAAGAGUAACGGAGGAGCACGAAGGUUGGCUAAUCCUGGUCGGACAUCAGGAGGUUAGUGCAAUGGCAUAAGCCAGCUUGACUGCGAGCGUGACGGCGCGAGCAGGUGCGAAAGCAGGUCAUAGUGAUCCGGUGGUUCUGAAUGGAAGGGCCAUCGCUCAACGGAUAAAAGGUACUCCGGGGAUAACAGGCUGAUACCGCCCAAGAGUUCAUAUCGACGGCGGUGUUUGGCACCUCGAUGUCGGCUCAUCACAUCCUGGGGCUGAAGUAGGUCCCAAGGGUAUGGCUGUUCGCCAUUUAAAGUGGUACGCGAGCUGGGUUUAGAACGUCGUGAGACAGUUCGGUCCCUAUCUGCCGUGGGCGCUGGAGAACUGAGGGGGGCUGCUCCUAGUACGAGAGGACCGGAGUGGACGCAUCACUGGUGUUCGGGUUGUCAUGCCAAUGGCACUGCCCGGUAGCUAAAUGCGGAAGAGAUAAGUGCUGAAAGCAUCUAAGCACGAAACUUGCCCCGAGAUGAGUUCUCCCUUGGACUUUAAGUCCACUGAAGGAACGUUGAAGACGACGACGUUGAUAGGCCGGGUGUGUAAGCGCAGCGAUGCGUUGAGCUAACCGGUACUAAUGAACCGUGAGGCUUAACCUUACAACGCCGAAG